AGAAGAAGAAGAAGAAGAAGAUGGAAGGAUGAUGAUGAUGAUUAUGAGUCAACAAAUAACAACGCAAAGGAAAACACACAACAAAGAAAGAAAGAUGCAAAUAUACAUAUAGAUACGGAGAGGGAGAGCGUGUCUCUCUGUGAUUGUGUGUGUGUGUGUGUGCCUGUUUGUUGUUUAUAUAUUCUGCAAGGAUGAGAGAAGCAAGCAGAGAAAUUCCAACACCUCUACAAAAUCGGUGCCAUU
Molecule: unclassified non-coding RNA, 243 nt
Filed under: Hevea brasiliensis (rubber tree)
Lineage: Eukaryota; Viridiplantae; Streptophyta; Magnoliopsida; Malpighiales; Euphorbiaceae
Source: RNAcentral